GUAUAGCUCAGUGGUAGAGCACAUGCCUAGCAUGCAUGAGGUCCUGGGUUCAAUCCCCAGUGC
This 63-nucleotide transfer RNA is filed under the name Camelus bactrianus (Bactrian camel). It matches the Rfam family "tRNA", at positions 5 to 66 of the family's 71-position model. Rfam says of the family: Transfer RNA (tRNA) molecules are approximately 80 nucleotides in length. Lineage: Eukaryota; Metazoa; Chordata; Mammalia; Artiodactyla; Camelidae. The record is from Rfam by way of RNAcentral. RNAcentral also lists the same sequence under 2 other names.